RNAcentral lists this transfer RNA (72 nucleotides) under Marmota marmota marmota (Alpine marmot). It matches the Rfam family "tRNA". Rfam says of the family: Transfer RNA (tRNA) molecules are approximately 80 nucleotides in length. RNAcentral also lists the same sequence under 1 other name. The record is from Rfam by way of RNAcentral. Lineage: Eukaryota; Metazoa; Chordata; Mammalia; Rodentia; Sciuridae.
UUGGGUGUAGCUCAGUGUUAGAGGACAUGCUUAGCAUGUAUAAGGCUCUAGGUUCAAUCCCUAAUACCAAAC